AACAGGCAGAGGUGCUGCCGGCAGUUACAGCAAGAUGGUGUUCACUGGCUGGGACUACGGUUGCCAGGGAGACCAGGCCACCAAACUCAAACAGAAAAGCAUCCACUACCAGCUACAGGUGGACCUGGAGGAGGAGGCUACAGAAAAAGGCUUUGUCUCUAACCUUAGGUCAGACAGUGGGUCUGUGUUCUCUACGCAUCAAACUCAUGCUCGUCACCCUCGGCUCUCAUAGGAGGAGCUUUCUUUGGCAUCUUCAAGGCUACUGUCUUCAGCCAGUGUGGUGCUGUGUUACGUAGCAACUCUAGCCGCAGUCUAUGGGAAGAGUGUUGAUCUGCUAAAGGCCCAGCUUAAACUGGAGGGAUGUGAUAAGCAGUUCCUGAUAAGCAGAUUGAAGAGCUGAGUAGAGAGAUGGAGGUUCCAACAAGGGACCAAUUGGACACAUUUGACACUGGUGCAGCAAACUGACUCAGACACCAGGCUCAAACCCACGGCCCAUAUCCCGGCCCAAGGCACUUCUUGCAGAUUUGAAAGGCUUAGAUAGGUUUGCAUGUGACAAAGCACAUAUCUACACCUUCACAAAUCAUUUUACAAUUGUCACUCUUUAGUGUACGAUAGCUACAUUUGAGGCAAAGUUGUACUUAUUAUGAUUGAGUGGUGGUUCUCACCUAGUUACGGUAUCUUAAGAUGAAUGCACCAACUGUAAAUCCCUCUGGAUAAGAGCUUCUGCUAAAUGACUCAUCUAAAUAAUCUAAUUUAGUUUGUUACCCUAUUUCUCUCUCAUAAUACCUGUAACAUCAAUUGCCAUGUUCAUUGCCUUUGCAUUCUCUUCCUCACCUCUUGCCUAAACAUCAGACUGUGACCGUGUUUACACAAUGGUUAUUCAGCGUGAAAGAAGUCGUCCUAAAAAAGAGGCAAGUGUCUCUACAAGCCAGAAUGUUGAAUACAAUUAUAUUUACACUUAUCGGUUGUCCGUCCUUUUGACGGUAGGAAGUGGAGAUAAAAUAUCCACAGGAAAGUAUUGUUUACCCGACUUUUUGCUGCGACGGUAGGUUCUUUCGCUUGUAUUUUCAAUCUCCAGAGGCAUUGUUGCACAUUAUGUAAACAGUAGCCGAACAUUGUCGACCGAAGCACGUUCCCUCGCAGUCAGCUGGGUGUAAUUUGUGGAACGUUCCAAUAGGAAUCUGUUCCAAAAAGUUCGUAAAUAACAAGGUUGCCAGCAAACAACGGAUACAAAAUUGUAUAGCGGCAGAAUAAGAUACCGGGUAGGGAGUGGGCUAUUUCAUUCAGUUUCUCACUCACCACGUUUUUUCCGAAAAAUGUCUGAAUUUAUCACGCUACGUUGAAAACAUUAUACUUUACGAAGUUUUUGGAAACGAUUCCUGUUGGAACGUUCCACAAAUUAUACCCACCGAUCAGCUAGAAGUGCUUGUGAAAUUUGCCAGUUUGAUUGUGUGGGACAUCGUUCGGUCUGUGAUUCAAUUAAGCUUGGCCAUUACUUGCAUAUUGUGCAAGUGUUUGUCAUGUGCGAAUUGUGCCAGUACUGAAAAUACAAACGCAUAUGCAGACCAAUUUAGUGUAUUGAAAGUUAGGUUAACACUUCCCUGUUGAUAUUUUGUCUGUUACUUCCCAAAAUAAGAACACAAUCAGCGGACAACAGGUAAAGCAAGUUGAAAUAAAGAUUAUUCAACAUUGUGACUUGUAAUGGGACUGUUCAGGAAUGCUGAACCUACAUGUUAGAUACAAGAGUGUAAGUCUUUCACUCUCGGAUUCCAAAACAGGCUACCUCUACCCCACCUUUACAACAUUAAAUGUGUUUAUUUUUCUAAAUUGAUUUAAAUAUUGUUUACAUAUAUGUUUAAUGUUCUUCAGUUUAACAAGUUCUC
Molecule: long non-coding RNA, 1883 nt
Organism: Oncorhynchus keta (chum salmon)
Lineage: Eukaryota; Metazoa; Chordata; Actinopteri; Salmoniformes; Salmonidae
Exons: 4
Source: RefSeq, a predicted model, not a curated record